This 492-nucleotide ribosomal RNA is filed under the name uncultured bacterium. RNAcentral describes it as "partial 16S ribosomal RNA". It matches the Rfam family "Bacterial small subunit ribosomal RNA", at positions 30 to 507 of the family's 1533-position model. The record is from RNAcentral.
AUUGAACGCUGGCGGCAUGCUUUACACAUGCAAGUCGAACGGUAACAGGCCUUCGGGUGCUGACGAGUGGCGAACGGGUGAGUAAUGCAUCGGAACGUGCCCAGAGCUGGGGGAUAACGCAGCGAAAGCUGUGCUAAUACCGCAUGUGAUCUGAGGAUGAAAGCGGGGGACCAGGCAGCAAUGUUUGGCCUCGCGCCUUUGGAGCGGCCGAUGUCAGAUUAGGUAGUUGGUGGGGUAAAGGCCUACCAAGCCGACGAUCUGUAGCUGGUCUGAGAGGACGACCAGCCACACUGGAACUGAGACACGGCCCAGACUCCUACGGGAGGCAGCAGUGGGGAAUUUUGGACAAUGGGCGCAAGCCUGAUCCAGCAAUGCCGCGUGCGGGAAGAAGGCCUUCGGGUUGUAAACCGCUUUUGUACGGAACGAAAAGGCUCUGGCUAAUACCUGGGGCUGAUGACGGUACCGUAAGAAUAAGCACCGGCUAACUACGUG